UUUUCCAAAAAAAUAUACAUCAACCGGCAGAGGAAGAAAGGAAGCUUCUUUAGAGAGGCUACUAUUUGCUCCGUCGACGUGCGAAGCGCCUUAAAAGAUCCAUCCCGACGCUUGAAGAGGGCAGCCGGAGAGGGAAGGGGGAAAUCCGAAACCCUAACCCUAACCCUAACCCGAGAGAGAGAGAGAGAGAGAGAAUGGACGCCAUUAGGAAGCAGCUCGACGUGCUCAUGGGGGCCAACCGCAACGGGGACGUGAGGGAGGUGAGCCACAAGUACUACGACCGUGACGUCUGCCGCCUCUUCUUGGCCGGCCUCUGCCCGCACGACCUCUUCCAGCUCACGAUCCCAAGACUUGUUCACAAUAGCAGUGGGCUUCCAUCUCAUCUACUCUGUUUAACUUGGCCUGGGACUGCACUGCUCAUAAAAAUGGAUAUGGGUCCUUGUCCGAAGAUUCACUCCUUGCAGCUGAGAAAGGAAUAUGAAGAGGCAAAAGUAAAAGGUGAUCAUAAUUUUCAUAGGGAACUUGAGGAUAUGAUAGAAAGACUUAUUGUUGAGUGUGAAAGGAAAAUUCAAAGGGCUCUAAAGCGACUUGAGGAUGAGGAUGCUACUGCUGCUGUAGCAAUAUCCGUAUCUAAGGUUACUCAGACACCUGAAGUCAUGGAACUGUCGAAACAGAUAAAGGAGAAACUAAAAGAAGCUGAUGUUUUUGAUUUCGAAGGAAAAACUGAUAGUAAAAUGCGGGUUUUAGAAUUGGUGGAAGACCUCAAAGGCCAAAGAGCUGACAAGCAGUCGGUGCUUCUUCUCGAUGCCUUCAACAAAGACAGGGCUUCUUUGCCAUUGCCAAAUCAGAAUCCUUCUCAACCAGCAUCCUUGCCUGUUGUCAAUCCUCCAGAUCGUCAUACACAGGAAAUGAUCAAUGAAAAACUUAAGAAAGCAGAGGAUCUUGGUGAGAGGGGACUGAUAGAUGAAGCCCAGAAAGCUCUAGAAGAAGCAGAAACUCUGAAAAAGCUGGGUGCACGGCAAGAGCCAAUCCUAGAAUCAUCAAAGUAUAGUGUUGCUGACGUACGAAUAACAGAUCAGAAGUUGCGUGUAUGUGAUAUAUGUGGAGCAUUCUUGAGCGUCUAUGACAAUGAUCGUCGCUUGGCUGAUCAUUUUGGAGGAAAACUUCACCUUGGCUAUAUGCUAAUCCGUGAAAAACUAGCAGAACUCCAGGUGCUGGUAUAAUGUUUCGCAUUCUCCAGUAAAGAGUUACGAUUAUUUUUGGCAUCAGUGAGUUUUCUUCCCUCAAUUGAAAAAUCACCACCAUGUAGUUAUGUUGAGUUUCUGUCUUCACUUCUUUUACUUGGCUAGUACAUUGUCAUGUGGGAGGGUCCCUUUGAAGUAGUGGACAUAUAUGGACUCAGAGAACUUCAUUCCUGUCCCCCGUCACGACAACUGCAAUCACUUAAGUCAAAGAAACUGUAAGCAGAUAAACAGUAUGUAGAGCAUAUUAAAAUUGGCAGCAUAGCAUUGUGUUUUUUCAUUUUGAUGUAACUGCUCACUUAUUCCUGACCUUGGUUCUUAUUUGUGAUUUUGGGUUGGAAACUAAGCAACAUUGCAACAGUUGUUUGGUAAAUUAUGAGCAAUUUUAACAAUAACUGUUUAUAUGAUUUGAAUGUUCGUUUUUAAGCAACUAAUUUGCCUAGUUAGCAAAGUUUUUGGAAUUUACAAUGUCAUAAUGUGAUCAUCUCAUGCAAAUGAAUUCUGGAAUAGUUAUCCCUUAAUGUUAUAUGUUCUUCCCCAGUGGAGUUUGUAGAUCAUUAAUUCACUGCUUCUCAUUCAUAUAUUACAUGACAUGACAUGGACAUGGUAUUUAUUUGCAUGCAUUACUAAUGAUUUUAUAUAUGAAUACAUGUUUUGUAAAAGUCAUGAUCAUCAUUCUUGUACUACAUGUAAAUUGUAAAGGAUUAAAAUCAUUCACUAAGUACCUCGUAUUCAUAUACCAAACAUUAAGGAGAUAUUCACAGUAAUAGUAAGAUCCAAGCAAAUAAUCCAUAUUGAUAUAAUUCCUGCAAUAAUAACAUGUCAUUAAUAAAUCUAGAUGAUGCAUAUGCUGGUGUUAGACUGGUGUCGGACAUGAAUGCUCCAAGCAUUUGAUGUGGUUGUGAUGCAUUAUUUCUCAUUUCUGAUUGCAUCCUGAAUUUCUCGUCAAUUGUGUCCAAGGUUAUCUUAGAUGAUGGUGUUAUUAUGUGACUAGGAGAAAUUAAUUGUUUACUACUAUGUUAUCAAUUAUGUGCUGUAACCUUUGGUCAUUCUACUAUUCUUCCGAGAAUUCUUAAUUGUAGCUGAAAGUAAAUAUAAAGUGACACUCCCUGAAAGUGGUCAAUGUCAAAUUAUUUAGUUUAUGAAUGCCAUCCCAGAAGUCAUUUUCAUAGAAAUGGUUAGAUAAACUUCUAUAACUUAUUUGCACUUUGAUGACUUUGGAACAUGGAGAAUUGAACUCUGUGGAGUGGACUAUAACCAUAGCUGUUUGUAGCCUGUGAAUUAUGUGAUAUGGCUACAGCUGCUUGUUUAUUUUUAAGAUUGGUGCAUCUUCACAAUCUAUUUUGCCAGGAAGAGAGGAACAAAAAACGAAAAGUUGAUCGAUUUGAAGAUGAUAGGAGGGCAAAAGAUCAAAGUAGGGAUCGUGAUAGGGCUGGAAGCAGGGAUCAAGUUGUAGGUAAAGAGGUUCAUGUUGAUAAUCGAAUUAGAGGCAGAGAAUUU
This is an RNA transcript of Musa acuminata AAA Group (dessert banana), 2741 nucleotides long. RefSeq lists it as uncharacterized. The record is from RefSeq and is a predicted model, not a curated record. The transcript has 13 exons. NCBI's taxonomy places the organism in Eukaryota, Viridiplantae, Streptophyta, Magnoliopsida, Zingiberales, Musaceae.